GGCAACUCAGCAACUUUUCCUCCCAUCUGAAGAGGUGCCUUGUCAAUACUGAUGGGAUUACACAAUUGGAUCAAAAUGUGGACUAAGAACUCCAAAUUAAUAAACCUCAAAAAUAAAAGACUUCCCUGAGGCCCGGUGCGGUAAAUCCAGGCGCCUCUCAAUGCUAUAUACUAUGGUAAUGAAGAGCAGUUAAGACCUGAAAAGAUCUCUGCCACCGAAAAUCAGCUGUAUACGGCAACAAACAGAUAACGACAAAUUGGAAAUGAUUGCCGGGGUUCUCAGACUGCUACGCUGCGUAACAGACGCCUUACAGCGAAAUUGUAUUUCUAAAAUCCAGACCUCGCCAUCCGAAAAAACAAGAACCGCUGAGAACAUAUGUCCUGCAGGAAUCCAUGAACUACGUUACAGUUUAGUUUAUGAACUUCAUAACGCGUUUUGAACGCAAGAGGGAGAACAAUAGUCUGCAGCCAAAUCUGCCUUGGCCUAAUAAAAUAAUGGA
Long non-coding RNA from Hyla sarda, 499 nucleotides. RefSeq lists it as uncharacterized. Lineage: Eukaryota; Metazoa; Chordata; Amphibia; Anura; Hylidae. The record is from RefSeq and is a predicted model, not a curated record. The transcript is spliced from 3 exons.